UAUUAUUCUAGCCACACAAUACGUACAAAACUGAAGUUUGUUUUCAAAUUUGAUUCUUAAAAAUUAAAUGAUAAAAAAUUUGAUAUCGAUUUCAGAUAAAAUCCUAUUAAAACCGAACCAAACAUCCCCCACUUAUUACAUGGCACGCACUUGUUCCAUUAGCUAAAAAAUUUCUAGCCUACAAAUAAUGAAGAAAGCAGAGCUUGUGUUCGUCCCGACGCCAGGCAUGGGCCACCUUGCAUCCACGUUGGAGGCAGCAAAGCUUCUCCUUGACCGUCAUCAUCGACUCUCCAUCACUGUCCUCAUCAUUAAGCGUUCUUCAGACACUCUCGUCAGCUCCUUCGUUAAUUCCAUAGCUAAAUCAGAUCGUAUCCAGUUCAUCGAACUACCUAAUGUUGAUGAAGGCUCCUUGGGUUUCGGUUUUAUUGAUAAACAGAUUCCCCAUGUCAAAGAAGCCGUCUUCAAGCUCACUGCUCGCCCUGAUUUGUCGCUCGCCGGAUUUGUACUGGAUAUGUUCUGUACAUCGAUUAUGGAUGUGGCUAAAGAAUUUGGUGUUCCAUCUUAUAUUUUCUUUACUUCAGGUGCAUCUUUUUUCGGUUUUAUGCUUUAUAUGCAACUUAUUCACGAUGAGCAGGAGGUGGAUCCUACUCAGUUCAAGGAUUCUGACGGUGAGUUGCCGGUGCCAAGUUUGGCUAACCCACUUCCUCCUAGAGUUCUGCCUUCUGUGGUGCUUGUAAAGGAGUGGCUUUUUUUUUUCCUCCACUACGCUAGACGAUAUAGAGAGGCUAAGGGUAUAAUGGUAAAUACAUUCAUGGAGCUGGAAUCCUAUGCACUAAACUCUCUUGGAGAUGCUAACAGUAAUAUUCCUCCAAUUUAUCCUGUGGGACCCAUAUUGAGUCUAGAGGGUGACAGCCAUAGCCAUAAUGUGGGGCCAGAUGGGAGUAAAAUCAUGGAGUGGCUUGAUGAUCAACCUCCAUCAUCAGUAGUGUUUCUCUGCUUUGGAAGCAUGGGAGGUUUUGAAAUGAAUCAAGCCAAAGAAAUUGCGUGUGCGUUAGAGCAAAGUGGACACCGAUUCUUGUGGUCUCUACGGCGGCCCCCACCAAAGGGUAAAAUAGAAUUAUCAGCUGAUUAUCAGAAUUUCCAAGAAAUAUUACCAGAAGGAUUCUUGGAUCGUACGGCUGGGAUAGGAAAGGUAAUCGGGUGGGCUCCACAAGUAGCCAUAUUGGCCCACGCAGCAAUUGGAGGUUUUGUUUCGCAUUGUGGAUGGAAUUCUAUACUAGAAAGCAUAUGGUUUGGUGUUCCAAUCGCCACGUGGCCGAUGUAUGCAGAGCAACAAUUUAAUGCCUUUUUAAUGGUGACUGAGUUGGGAUUGGGUGUGGAAAUUAAAAUGGAUUACAGGAGAGAGAGCGAAAUAAUAGUAAGCGCGCAGGAUAUAGAGAGAGGAAUACGGUGUGUGAUGGAACAUGAUAGUGAAAUAAGGAAGAGGGUCAAAGAGAUGAGUGAAAAUAGUAAGAAGGCCUUGAAGGAUGAUGGAUCUUCAUACUUUUGUGUAAACCGUCUGAUUGAAGAUGUGAUGGAUAAUUUGCCAUGAAACACCUGCCUAUUUGCGCUGUUGAGAUCUGAACUAUUUUGUGAUAAUUAUAUAUUAUAUAAAUUAAAUGUAACAUUAAUAUUUUUAAUACUAAUUUCCGAAGUUAAAAAAUGUUGAAAUUAGCCAAAAUAUCAUUACAAAAUCUAAAUUAAUAUCCAAUAAUAGCCUUAUGAGUCAUUAUAAAAU
RNAcentral lists this unclassified non-coding RNA (1777 nucleotides) under Hevea brasiliensis (rubber tree). The record is from RNAcentral. Lineage: Eukaryota; Viridiplantae; Streptophyta; Magnoliopsida; Malpighiales; Euphorbiaceae.